This 301-nucleotide ribosomal RNA is filed under the name uncultured bacterium. RNAcentral's name for it is "partial 16S ribosomal RNA". It matches the Rfam family "Bacterial small subunit ribosomal RNA", at positions 509 to 807 of the family's 1533-position model. The record is from RNAcentral.
CAGUAGCCGCGGGAAUACGAAGGGGGCGAGCGUUGCUCGGAAUGACUGGGCGUAAAGGGCGCGUAGGUGGUACGGACAGUCAGAUGUGAAAUUCCCGGGCUCGACCUGGGGGCUGCAUUUGAUACGUCCGAACUAGAGUGUGGAAGAGGGUCGUGGAAUUCCCAGUGUAGAGGUGAAAUUCGUAGAUAUUGGGAAGAACACCGGUGGCGAAGGCGGCGACCUGGUCCAUUACUGACGCUGAGGCGCGAAAGCGUGGGGAGCAAACAGGAUUAGAUACCCCAGUAGUCCCUGUCUCUUAUAC